CGCAGCAAUGCGGUUUGGGGGCGUCUGCGUAACCUGCUCGCGCCCCUGUGUUUCAAAAGGCUAUGUUUUAACAUACACUAUAAAGUUACAGAAUGUCUUUUAAAGGCUGCUUGCAGUCAUUAAACCUAUACAACUUUCAGCAACGGAUCUCUUGGCUCUCCCAUCGAUGAAGAACGCAGCGAAAUGCGAUAAGUAAUGUGAAUUGCAGAAUUCAGUGAAUCAUCGAAUCUUUGAACGCACCUUGCGCCCUUUGGUAUUCCGAAGGGCAUGCCUGUUUGAGUGUCAUUAAAUUAUCAACCUUGCUUGCUUUUACUAGCUCGCUUGGCUUGGAUGUGGGGGUUUGCUGGCUUCCUUCAGUGGAUGGUCUGCUCCCCUUAAAUGCAUUAGUGGGAUCUCUUGUGGACCGUCACUUGGUGUGAUAAUUAUCUAUGCCAUCUGACUUUGAAGCAAAUUUUAUGAGAACCUGCUUAUAACCGUCUCUCGCAGCAAUGCGGAUUGGGGGUCUGAGUCCUUUAUUUGGGCACUUCCCUUGUCGGACAACUUUUUUAACAUUUUGACCUCAAAUCAGGUAGGACUACCCGCUGAACUUAA
RNAcentral lists this ribosomal RNA (591 nucleotides) under uncultured fungus. RNAcentral describes it as "eukaryotic LSU rRNA". The stretch from base 132 to 285 matches the Rfam family "5.8S ribosomal RNA". Lineage: Eukaryota; Fungi. The record is from RNAcentral.